AGGACGAACGCUGGCGGCGUGCUUAACACAUGCAAGUCGAGCGGUAAGGCCUUUCGGGGUACACGAGCGGCGAACGGGUGAGUAACACGUGGGUGAUCUGCCCUGCACUCUGGGAUAAGCUUGGGAAACUGGGUCUAAUACCGGAUAUGACCUGCUCUCGCAUGGGGGUGGUGGAAAGAUUUAUCGGUGCAGGAUGGGGCCCCGCGGCCU
This 210-nucleotide ribosomal RNA is filed under the name uncultured soil bacterium. Its description in RNAcentral is "partial 16S ribosomal RNA". It matches the Rfam family "Bacterial small subunit ribosomal RNA", at positions 26 to 239 of the family's 1533-position model. The record is from RNAcentral.